UAAUUAAUGAUGUUAUUAAUACCCAAGGACCUUAAAAUUAAAAAUGAAUAGGAUUUUAAUCAAUGGAGUAACAAAAAGAAGAAUGUGAACCUAAUUUCUACUAUAUAAAUACACAUGUUUUGCAUGGGAUGGUACGUUUAUGCAAAUGUUCAAUUGGUAAAUUAUUAUUUUAUUGACAUAGCGUGAUUGUAAAUUUACAUACCUCUCAUUUUCGUACUUUUGCAUGAAUUUAAGCAGCUUCUGACAUAUUUGCAAUAAUUGAGCUUUAAGAUACAAUUGGACUUGGUGGUGAAAUUUUUGGACCCUAACAACAAUCUCAAAGCUAUGUAGUGCAGUAUAUGUGAUGUUUUCUUUUUGGGAACUAUUAUUAGCACUUCAAAAAUCUUAUUAUACACUCCUUAUAAGUGUAUUUUUCUUUCUAAUUAUAAAAAAUUUAGAGUGCAAAAUUAGAUUUUUUGAAUGCUAAUAACAAUUCCCUUCUUUUUUACUUUUCCAAAGAAAUGCUGAACAUGCAUUCCAACCUCAAACUCUUUAUUUUUCUUUAUUACCUCGGGAAAAUUACUGUUGUCUUUUGGAACUGGCACAUGAGUUGAAAUUUGAAACAAUAUAUAUUGUGUCAACAUUACUCAACAUAAUAUGUAUACCGGUACUAAUAAAUUUCUUGGAUAGAAUCGGAAGUCCCAUGAAAUGAUCAGACAGAUUUCAUGUUUAUGUAAAUCCAUUAAAUGUUUUACAUUACUGCAUAUAUAUACAUAGACAUAGUAUAAAAAAUCAAUCAACAGAUAGUCAAUUUACAGAAAAUAAUAUAAGGGAAUUAAGCAUUAUUUUGGAUUAAUGCAGCCUAGAAACAAGGCCACAAUUCUUUUAUGAAUUAUUACAAGUUUUUACAGGUAU
This 894-nucleotide long non-coding RNA is filed under the name Malus domestica (apple). Its description in RNAcentral is "long non-coding RNA (MDOM_LNC016658)". The record is from RNAcentral. Lineage: Eukaryota; Viridiplantae; Streptophyta; Magnoliopsida; Rosales; Rosaceae.